AAAUUGAAGAGUUUGAUCAUGGCUCAGAUUGAACGCUGGCGGCAGGCCUAACACAUGCAAGUCGAACGGUAACAGGAAGCAGCUUGCUGCUUCGCUGACGAGUGGCGGACGGGUGAGUAAUGUCUGGGAAACUGCCUGAUGGAGGGGGAUAACUACUGGAAACGGUGGCUAAUACCGCAUAACGUCGCAAGACCAAAGAGGGGGACCUUCGGGCCUCUUGCCAUCAGAUGUGCCCAGAUGGGAUUAGCUUGUUGGUGAGGUAACGGCUCACCAAGGCGACGAUCCCUAGCUGGUCUGAGAGGAUGACCAGCCACACUGGAACUGAGACACGGUCCAGACUCCUACGGGAGGCAGCAGUGGGGAAUAUUGCACAAUGGGCGCAAGCCUGAUGCAGCCAUGCCGCGUGUAUGAAGAAGGCCUUCGGGUUGUAAAGUACUUUCAGCGGGGAGGAAGGUGUUGUGGUUAAUAACCACAGCAAUUGACGUUACCCGCAGAAGAAGCACCGGCUAACUCCGUGCCAGCAGCCGCGGUAAUACGGAGGGUGCAAGCGUUAAUCGGAAUUACUGGGCGUAAAGCGCACGCAGGCGGUCUGUCAAGUCGGAUGUGAAAUCCCCGGGCUCAACCUGGGAACUGCAUUCGAAACUGGCAGGCUUGAGUCUUGUAGAGGGGGGUAGAAUUCCAGGUGUAGCGGUGAAAUGCGUAGAGAUCUGGAGGAAUACCGGUGGCGAAGGCGGCCCCCUGGACAAAGACUGACGCUCAGGUGCGAAAGCGUGGGGAGCAAACAGGAUUAGAUACCCUGGUAGUCCACGCCGUAAACGAUGUCUACUUGGAGGUUGUGCCCUUGAGGCGUGGCUUCCGGAGCUAACGCGUUAAGUAGACCGCCUGGGGAGUACGGCCGCAAGGUUAAAACUCAAAUGAAUUGACGGGGGCCCGCACAAGCGGUGGAGCAUGUGGUUUAAUUCGAUGCAACGCGAAGAACCUUACCUGGUCUUGACAUCCACGGAAGAAUUCAGAGAUGGAUUUGUGCCUUCGGGAACCGUGAGACAGGUGCUGCAUGGCUGUCGUCAGCUCGUGUUGUGAAAUGUUGGGUUAAGUCCCGCAACGAGCGCAACCCUUAUCCUUUGUUGCCAGCGGUCCGGCCGGGAACUCAAAGGAGACUGCCAGUGAUAAACUGGAGGAAGGUGGGGAUGACGUCAAGUCAUCAUGGCCCUUACGACCAGGGCUACACACGUGCUACAAUGGCGCAUACAAAGAGAAGCGACCUCGCGAGAGCAAGCGGACCUCAUAAAGUGCGUCGUAGUCCGGAUUGGAGUCUGCAACUCGACUCCAUGAAGUCGGAAUCGCUAGUAAUCGUGGAUCAGAAUGCCACGGUGAAUACGUUCCCGGGCCUUGUACACACCGCCCGUCACACCAUGGGAGUGGGUUGCAAAAGAAGUAGGUAGCUUAACCUUCGGGAGGGCGCUUACCACUUUGUGAUUCAUGACUGGGGUGAAGUCGUAACAAGGUAACCGUAGGGGAACCUGCGGUUGGAUCACCUCCUUACCUGAAAGAAGC
Molecule: ribosomal RNA, 1554 nt
Filed under: Salmonella enterica subsp. enterica serovar Senftenberg
Lineage: Bacteria; Pseudomonadati; Pseudomonadota; Gammaproteobacteria; Enterobacterales; Enterobacteriaceae
Description: bacterial SSU rRNA
Rfam family: Bacterial small subunit ribosomal RNA
Source: RNAcentral